GUGCCAGCAGCCGCGGUGAUACGUAGGGUGCAAGCGUUAAUCGGAAUUACUGGGCGUAAAGCGUGUGUAGGCGGUUCGGAAAGAAAGAUGUGAAAUCCCAGGGCUCAACCUUGGAACUGCAUUUUUAACUGCCGAGCUAGAGUAUGUCAGAGGGGGGUAGAAUUCCACGUGUAGCAGUGAAAUGCGUAGAUAUGUGGAGGAAUACCGAUGGCGAAGGCAGCCCCCUGGGAUAAUACUGACGCUCAGACACGAAAGCGUGGGGAGCAAACAGGAUUAGAUACCCUGGUAGUCCACGCCCUAAACGAUGUCAACUAGCUGUUGGGGCCGUUAGGCCUUAGUAGCGCAGCUAACGCGUGAAGUUGACCGCCUGGGGAGUACGGUCGCAAGAUUAAAACUCAAAGGAAUUGACGGGGACCCGCACAAGCGGUGGAUGAUGUGGAUUAAUUCGAUGCAACGCGAAAAACCUUACCUACCCUUGACAUGUCUGGAAUGCCGAAGAGAUUUGGCAGUGCUCGCAAGAGAACCAGAACACAGGUGCUGCAUGGCUGUCGUCAGCUCGUGUCGUGAGAUGUUGGGUUAAGUCCCGCAACGAGCGCAACCCUUGUCAUUAGUUGCUACGCAAGAGCACUCUAAUGAGACUGCCGGUGACAAACCGGAGGAAGGUGGGGAUGACGUCAAGUCCUCAUGGCCCUUAUGGGUAGGGCUUCACACGUCAUACAAUGGUCGGGACAGAGGGUCGCCAACCCGCGAGGGGGAGCCAAUCUCAGAAACCCGAUCGUAGUCCGGAUCGCAGUCUGCAACUCGACUGCGUGAA
RNAcentral lists this ribosomal RNA (814 nucleotides) under uncultured bacterium. Its description in RNAcentral is "bacterial SSU rRNA". It matches the Rfam family "Bacterial small subunit ribosomal RNA", at positions 505 to 1324 of the family's 1533-position model. The record is from RNAcentral.